AACGCACAUUGCGCCCCUUGGUAUUCCAUUGGGCAUGCCUGUUCGAGCGUCAUUUACUCCCUCAAGCUACGCUUGGUGUUGGGCGUCUGUCCUUGCUUCCAGCGAGGACUCGCCCUAAAUCUAUUGGCAGCGGUAUCGCCGGCUUCUCGCGCAGCACAUUGCGCUUUGGAAGGCUCCCGGCGGGCUCGCGUCCAGCAAGAACCCCCCAGUUUGACCUCGAAUCAGGUAGGGAUACCCGCUGAACUUAA
RNAcentral lists this unclassified non-coding RNA (248 nucleotides) under uncultured Pleosporales. Its description in RNAcentral is "sequence contains ITS2". The record is from RNAcentral. Lineage: Eukaryota; Fungi; Ascomycota; Dothideomycetes; Pleosporales.